This is a long non-coding RNA of Frieseomelitta varia, 318 nucleotides long. RefSeq lists it as uncharacterized. The transcript has 4 exons. NCBI's taxonomy places the organism in Eukaryota, Metazoa, Arthropoda, Insecta, Hymenoptera, Apidae. The record is from RefSeq and is a predicted model, not a curated record.
GUCAGUGAGUGAUUGUUGCUUGAACGCGCGCGUUGAUAGUCUUUUAUUUUUCCUUUUUUUUUUUGUAUUUUCUUUUGUUCAAUAUUCGUUUUCGCUGUUAGAGUCAGUGCUCAAGAGGAUGAGGCCUUUCCUGGAGAUCAAGAUUACGUUUCACAGCAUCAAUUUUUUUGCAUUUUUUGGGGAAAAUCCAACGGUGACUCUAAAGUCAAGAAUAUCUUUUACAGUCUCCACUUCCCCUAAUUUUGCAAGAAUCUUAUGAUGCUUCAGAAGCUAAAAACAAAUUUUUCACGGUGUUUACUUUCAUCAUGAGAUUCUGAG